This 465-nucleotide ribosomal RNA is filed under the name Vreelandella stevensii. Its description in RNAcentral is "partial 16S ribosomal RNA". It matches the Rfam family "Bacterial small subunit ribosomal RNA", at positions 338 to 795 of the family's 1533-position model. Lineage: Bacteria; Pseudomonadati; Pseudomonadota; Gammaproteobacteria; Oceanospirillales; Halomonadaceae. The record is from RNAcentral.
CCUACGGGAGGCAGCAGUGGGGAAUAUUGGACAAUGGGGGGAACCCUGAUCCAGCCAUGCCGCGUGUGUGAAGAAGGCCCUCGGGUUGUAAAGCACUUUCAGUGAGGAAGAACGCCUGGUGGUUAAUACCCAUCAGGAAAGACAUCACUCACAGAAGAAGCACCGGCUAACUCCGUGCCAGCAGCCGCGGUAAUACGGAGGGUGCGAGCGUUAAUCGGAAUUACUGGGCGCAAAGCGCGCGUAGGUGGCUUGAUAAGCCGGUUGUGAAAGCCCCGGGCUCAACCUGGGAACGGCAUCCGGAACUGUCAAGCUAGAGUGCAGGAGAGGAAGGUAGAAUUCCCGGUGUAGCGGUGAAAUGCGUAGAGAUCGGGAGGAAUACCAGUGGCGAAGGCGGCCUUCUGGACUGACACUGACACUGAGGAGCGAAAGCGUGGGUAGCAAACAGGAUUAGAUACCCUGGUAGUC